GCACACCGUGAUGGUAUUUCGUCUCGCUAUGACGGUAUUUGAGCACCUGCCAGUGUAGUUCUACACGAAACUAACCAAAGUUUCAAACCCUCAUAGCAGUUUCAGGAAAGACGGGGUGCGGAAUUUCUUCUUCUUCUUCGACGGGGAUUUGGAAGGUGACCCUUCAGGGGACAGGGCCUCCUCUAUCUUUUCAGAGCUUUUAAUGGUAAUCUCUACGCUCUCCACAGUACUAGUGGUUAACUGACUGACCCUCUUGGUGAGGUCUUCUUCCACGUCGUGUGCGUCUUCCUUGCCGUUCACCACCACCACAGGUAGCUCUGCAGAUAUGAGGUUGGCACUCUGGGUGUAGAGAUCUGCGUGAUUUUCUAGAGAACAGACAAUUUUACUGUCACUUAGCUGUGAUAUCAUGUAAAACAAACCCCAGACAAACAAACACAACAACAACAAAAGCCAACCCCAAGCUUGAAACAAAGAUGUGAGUCUGGAUUGCAAUCCAAAGAAUGAAAUCCAAAAUGCUAAGAUGUCGGCUUUUCUCCUUUAUCUGCCUGUUGUAAACAGACCUAAAAUGUUACUACCAGAUGUUGGACUGAGGAAGCUAAACUCACCUCUACCAGGUGCAUAUGCAGCUGAAGCCGUGUGUAGUACAUUACACAAACAAUAUAUAGAUACACAGUCUCAAGCAUACUUGGAAUUACAUUUUACUCCAGAGACAGGUUUACAGAAGUGCCACCAUUCCAUGCAGAAAUCUUUGGAACACUGCCCUUACCAAGUGCCUUCUUAGACCUCUCCGGAAAAGCCUCAGUCCAAACAUCUGAUCUUAAUCAUAGAGUCAUAGAAUGGCUUGGGUUGGAAGGGACUCCAUGGAUCAUCACGUUCCACUCACCAGGUGCUCGAUCAUGUUCUACAUCAGAUUGCCCAGGGCCCCAUCCAUCCUGGCCUUAAACACCUUCAGGAAUGGGGCACCCACAACCCCUCUGGGCAGCCUGUUCCAGCUCCUCGUCACCCUCUCAGUAAAAAACUUCCUCCUGACAUCUAAUCUAAAUCUCCUCUCCUUCAGUUUAAAACCAUUCCCCCUUGUCCUAUCACUAUCUACCUGCGUAAAAAGUUGAUUUCCCUCAUGCUUAUAAACUCCCUCUAAAUAUAUUGGAAGGCUGCAAUGAGGUCUCCUCAUAGCCUUCUCUUUUCCAGGCCGAACAAACCCAGUUCCUUCAGCCUGUCUUCGUAGGAGCCCUUAGAUCAUCUUCGUGGCCCUCCUCUGGACCCUCUCCAAAAGCUCCACAUCUUUCCUGUGUUAGAGGAUCACAACCAAAACCAAAACAUAUCUAUUUCCUCCUUCUCGUUUAUAACUAAGGUUCAAUACAUCGCAUGUUAUUUUCCAUUUGUGAGAAUUAUGGAUUAGAAAACCUUGGGAAAGGCAAUUUACUGGACAGAGUUGCCCCCCAGACUUUGGGAAAACAGGGCUCUUUUUUACUCAUUCAACAACAUAGAAGCAUAAAGAACUCAGCAAAAAAGCAGAUGACUCAGGUUAUGAGAGCCACCAGCAUUUUAGAGAAACUACACGGAAUACCUUCUAAUUUUUCUGGGACAUUUUGCGGGGACUGAGUUUGGGACUGAAUUUGUGACACAGAUGAACCGUCAUCUGAGAAUAAUUCCUGUUCAGCAUCUGUAGGACAAGAGUUUGAUUAGUAGCCAUGCAGAAGUAAAAACAAAGCAAGCAUGUCAGUACUAGUGGUACAAGAUUUACAGCUCUGCUAGCAUUGUGCUCUCUAUGCUGACAACAUUAAGAAGUUACAAUGCACAGUUUAAAUUACGUAGAAUGAUAGAUUUACACGUUUCAUCUGCUAACAAUCUUUUUAUAUUAGUUCAUUAGCAGAAAGCACAAAAAAGGGGGAAGGGUUGCAUUCCAUUGCAUUUCACAUAGCAUGCCCCGUGGUUUAAUCUAGCCUUAAGUCACACACGCUGCUGAUAGAAUAGGCUACCACACUAUACACCAAUGUGGUAUAUAGCCAAGUUGGUUUAUUACACAAUAAUGUGUGCAUAGUGAGUGAUACUGUCAAAAAAAACCCAACAAUGAAUUAGUCAUUUCCUACACAAUAGCAGUCCUGGAUAGAAGACGUAAAAAGUGAAAGCAGAUGAGCCUUGCACAUUGGGAGAAUAAAGGAGAAAUUAAAGAAGCAAAGAUCAAACAUCUUGCAAAACUUCUGGAGGUAAUAAAUUACAAAUGCGAGCUCAAAAAGCACUGGAAUUUGAAGGUCAGAAAGUAGAGAAUCUGUUGACAGGGCUACACCAAACGUGAAGCAGCACAGCAUAUUCGUGUUCUCAGGGAGAGCUCAGUGGGUUUUUCCUGUGAAUUCUGACACUUGAACAGACAUAAAACAAACCUUGAGAUAACAAAGAUUUUCUUCUACCUUGUCACAUUUUUCAUAAUUAAGUGGCAAAAAUCAUUUUUCAGAGAGUCAACUAUUCAUCACGUAUCAUUUAGAUAACUGAACAGAACUUCCACAAGUGCAGAAGGUUACAGAUUAGUUUACAAUCGUUAUCAUCACAGGUGGUCACAGCUCAGCUGGACAGGGUCCUCAGCAACACAAUCCAAGGUUUUUGCCUUUCAUUGCUUUAAUUUCAGCGUGAGCUGAAUUAAAUAAAGAAAAAAAAAAAUGAUUCUACUUCCUCAAGUAGAUAUGAAAUACAAAUGAACUGAUGAUAGAAAUGUAAACCCCAACCACUGACCUUCCAGCCCUAGCUGCUUGCGCUCAAUUGUUUUCUUGUACUCUUCCAGUUCCUUUUCUGUGAGAUGGCUGAAUGGGUUGGGUGGUGCUGGUGGCGCGUGCUCAUCAUCUUCAAAUUGCAUCGGCUAGGAGAAAGGAAAUUAAAAAAUUAGCAAUGAAAAAGGAAGCAAGCAACACGCACGUGGCAAUUGGUAUGAUGACUCCAAAACCUAAAGAGAGGGAAUACAGAAGAAAAAUAAACAAAAACAGCAAGGCCAAAGUUACCCUGUUUAAUGGGCAUUUACACAGUAAUGAACAUUAACCACUGUAGCUAUAAAUCACAGUUCAUUUACAGUGGUACAAUCACUAUUUGAGUGGGGUUUUGUUUUUUGUUUUAAAUGAAGGGGAACAGCUUCAAAGGAGACAUGUACCUAAAUAGCUUACUGUUCAAGGACUUAGAUUUUCUUUGGAAGUGAGAAUCUUUCAACAAUAGGUAUUCAGAUGUAACAUUUCCUAUAUUUUUUUGCAAAUACUCCAAGAAUUCUAGGAUGUCUUCAUGAGAAAGUAGCUGUGCUCAUGCUACAGUUGAGGAACCUAACUGGAAGAGGGCUUCUGAGAUUAAACUUAUAGUUACAGAAUUAAAAUAAUUCUCAUAUUGAAAGACAAUUAAUUUGGAAAAUAUUCUUUUUGACUGAAAUAAACAAGCAAACUGUAUCACUGCAAAAGAAUACUGGAAGCCAAAAUGAGGAAUCUAUUUAUAUGGUUGCCUAGAGAGGCGGUGGACACACCAUCCUUACAGAUGCCCAAGGUCAGAAUGGAGGGGCUCUGAGCACCUGAUGGAGCUGUAGGUGCCCCUGUUCACUGAAGGGGAGUUGGACCAGAUGACCUUUAUGGGCCCCUUCCAAUUCUAACGAUUCUAUGCAGUAACUCAUGGAUGGUGAGAAACGUAAAAUUAUUGAAUGCCAACUCUAGUUCAAUGUGGUUUGUUACAUACCUUAUCAGGGUUAUCCAUAUUAACCAGAAGUAACUACAUUCUAUUCAAGUCAAGGCUGGCAAGAAACCAGAAACCCUCACUCACUCCCACUCCAUUAGAAGCCUGUAUCCAAUGACAGCUGCCUUCUGCAUGGUCCCAUCCCACCUUUUAAAUUCACGUCAUUUCUGGGCCUUAAAUGCUUUUCUUUAGCAGUGAGUUCCACAGAACAAUGAGAAGUUAUUUUUGGCACUGUGCAUCGCAGAGUCCAUCAUUCUUCAGCUUAAAAGGCCUUAGAGAAGGCUCCCACUACAAUAAUAUUAAAUACAGGUAUGCCUACCAUGCAUAUCUCCAUCUGAAACUAACAUUUUAAACCUCUGAGAUAAAAAACAUGCAUCUACAUGAAUAAAACACAUUACACACUCAAAACUUGGCAUUAAAAUUACCAGUUCUAACAAAGUAUUUAGAAAGAAAAUGGCACAAAAGUGAAGCUUGAAAGAAAGCAAUGCAAAAUAACCCAAAUCCACAUAAAUCAGUGAAUUAUGCCCUACUCACUGGGCUUGGCUUCUUAUCCACAACGAUCCCAGCAAGCAGCUGAGACUGUGGUCCUGCUGUCUUCAGGUCAUAUCGAUUUUGCUCCCGAAUCUAUAGAGAGACAGACCAAAUAUAAAUAUAAGCAGAAAAAACAGAUCAGAUAAAAACAUUAUGCAGAAGAAAAAUGGGAGUCGACUAAAUAAUGAAACAGCGAACUGAGAGAAUCUUAAAGUCAUUGUCUGGAACUUGUAGCAUUAAUCUCUGGAUGACCACAAGAUGCCUUGCCAGCCCUAAGGAAGGGAGUUACUCCCUCUGACUCCAGUUCAAUCCCCACGGAUACUGAUAUGGUGCUUUCCAAGAAAUAAAAGAUUCUGUAAUCACAUGGAAAGCGUCCCAAAUAUCUGCUAGUACAGUAAAGCCCAGGGUGGAGUAUUUGGUCAGUCUAACAGUUAGCGCCUUACGUGCUGGAAGGGAAAAGCAGUGAGAUAUCUGUGAUUACAGACAGGUCCAACAAUCUUUCAUUUUCUUUUUUUUUUUUCCUUCCUUUCUAUUGCCAAAAGAGAGUGAACUGAGCCACAGACACUCCAGUGUAAUGCAUGCUAGAAGGAUUAGCACAGAGCAGAGCUCACGUGAGACUGAAUUAUGCUGUACCCGAUUUACAGCAAUUUGGUUCAUGCUGGCACCUAAUUAUCCACUAAAUAUAAUGUUAAAUGAUGGGGACUACCAUUUCCAAUCUAUCAUUUCCAGAGUUAAUGGUCAUCAAUCACCAAACUACUGCAUUCAAAAUUUGUAUGUACAUAGCAUAUUACAUACACAGUUUUUUAGUGCCAAAAUCACAUCAGAAACUUCCUACCAAAAACAGAACACUUGAAAAUUUUAGGUUACCAUCACACUUUAUUUAACAUAUAACUAUAUCUAGAAAUAGUACAGUUUUAUUCAUUACACAUCUUUUACCUUAUUUCUCUUUUCCAGCACCUCACUGGGGUUUGUGUUUAAAGGAACAAACUGGUUUGGAUCUUCAAUUUUGAUUGGUGUUCCUCCACUAGUCUUGGACGAGUCGUCAGCUUUCAUCCACUUAAAGGAAAAAAAGAAUUGCACAGCAUGAUGGGGAGGGACAAUUCUCAGUGCUGUUUUAUGGCUGAAGAGAAGAAGUAAAGAAGAGCCUUCCUGACUGUUUUCAGUUCCACACGAAAUCCAUGGAAUAUCCCCAAAUCUUCAUGAGUUUGUUCGCUUGCCAAAGGGGAUCUAAGUUGCCUUGAGCACGUACCACCCAGAUCACUUUUAAUAAACACCAAAACACACUCCUGUGUGCUAACUGCCUACUAACGAAGCUAUGUUCAGGAGGCAUCAUGCUUCCCAUCCACUAGCACACUGAUCUGCUGGUUCCAGAGCUCAUCCAUGCUCUCUCAUUUCCUCAGUCGCACAGUCAGCUUCUACCUCUGCUAAUCACACAUUUUGGAGCUUUACUCCUCUGAAGCGAGGUUUUAAAUCUGUUGCUGAGGCUAUUUCUUCCAAACACAAGUGCAAAAGAUGCUUGCUAGCCUGCCAGCAGGAGGAGCUGAUGCCUUUAUGGUUGCACCGUGCAACUCGGAGCAGGACAGCAAAUAAUGAGCUCCUCAGCCCUGCAAGAUAAGCACUGCUCUGCAGGCUGGAGACAGAGGUAGCAAGAGGAAAAGGCUCGAUCACCAUGAGUAGUAACAAGAGCAUACUCUUCAGAGCCUGUUUUUAGCAGGCUCACAAACAGGAAAAGGAUAGGUAGUGGCAAAUUAGACCUUGUAGAGACGAGAGCAACCUACAGGUGAUUUAAAACCUUCCUAUAUUUGGUGGGUAAUUUAAAACGUAAAAACAUACAGCAGCAACAUUAUUUUCUGUCUUAGGAAUUGGAGGAGCUAGGUGCAAAGGGAAAAUAAUUCUUUAUUUUUUAACAUUAACUGUUGCUUUUCCAAACAGCAAUGCCCAAAUCAUUGAGUGCCAUUAGUACUGAUGUCACUAAACCUCCCACAAACCUAUUUCCUCCUGCUUCAUUAACUGAUUUGCUAAUCCUGUCAAAGAGGUCUUGAAAGGAGCUGUGUGCAGUCUGCUUUCUCCCAAGCAGUAUAAAACCAGAACAACUGCCCCAAAGUAUUGGCCCACCGUGAUCUUGGUCCUGGGACUCGCUUCCCCGUUCCAGGACUCCUCAGGCACAUUUACUUUCAAGUACGUGUUUGGGGAGUUCAGCCAUCUUGUCUUUUCCCUCUGUUGCCUCUGCGCCAGGAAUUUCAGCGGGGAGAGCGGGACCGCAUCGUCUUCAAAGGAAAAGGCAGUCACAGUGGCUGGGAUCUCAACGUCACUCUUAUGUCUGGGCUUUUCCCUGACCAAGGGCUGCCUGUAGGCAUAGCCAGUUCUGUAUCCCUAUGGAGAAGGAAAAGGAAAAUAAUAACAAUUUAAGAAAUAAAAUUAAAAAAAAUUGAAAAAGUGACUGAAGAAGUAAUCUUUUUUUUUUUUGUGCUGCCCCAUAUGCCUUGAAUGGGUUGAGAAAUCGUUCUACCUUCAUUUUCAAACUCGCAAAGAAACCAGAAAGAAUCAUUUGCCAUACGGCAGCUGAUCCUACACUCAGAAGCUCCCAAAGGCUGCAGGGACGUUGCCACAAGUGUGCUCUCACCAGGUUGUCCAGCAUCCGCAUGAGUGCUUCAAACUCCUGCUCCCCUACUUUCCAUUUCUGCUGUGAAGACAUAUUAACUCCUCCUCCUCCACCUGCUGCCACA
This is a long non-coding RNA of Gallus gallus (chicken), 6953 nucleotides long. RefSeq lists it as uncharacterized. The record is from RefSeq and is a predicted model, not a curated record. NCBI's taxonomy places the organism in Eukaryota, Metazoa, Chordata, Aves, Galliformes, Phasianidae. The transcript has 2 exons.